This 574-nucleotide ribosomal RNA is filed under the name Alteromonas sp. RNAcentral describes it as "bacterial SSU rRNA". It matches the Rfam family "Bacterial small subunit ribosomal RNA", at positions 551 to 1125 of the family's 1533-position model. Lineage: Bacteria; Pseudomonadati; Pseudomonadota; Gammaproteobacteria; Alteromonadales; Alteromonadaceae. The record is from RNAcentral.
AUUCUGGGCGUAAGCGCACGCAGGCGGUUUGUUAAGCUAGAUGUGAAAGCCCCGGGCUCAACCUGGGACGGUCAUUUAGAACUGGCAGACUAGAGUCUUGGAGAGGGGAGUGGAAUUCCAGGUGUAGCGGUGAAAUGCGUAGAUAUCUGGAGGAACAUCAGUGGCGAAGGCGACUCCCUGGCCAAAGACUGACGCUCAUGUGCGAAAGUGUGGGUAGCGAACAGGAUUAGAUACCCUGGUAGUCCACACCGUAAACGCUGUCUACUAGCUGUUUGUGGCUUUAAGCCGUGAGUAGCGAAGCUAACGCGAUAAGUAGACCGCCUGGGGAGUACGGCCGCAAGGUUAAAACUCAAAUGAAUUGACGGGGGCCCGCACAAGCGGUGGAGCAUGUGGUUUAAUUCGAUGCAACGCGAAGAACCUUACCUACACUUGACAUGUUGAGAAGUUACUAGAGAUAGUUUCGUGCCUUCGGGAACUCAAACACAGGUGCUGCAUGGCUGUCGUCAGCUCGUGUCGUGAGAUGUUGGGUUAAGUCCCGCAACGAGCGCAACCCUUGUCCUUAGUUGCCAGCAUU